This is a long non-coding RNA of Cercocebus atys (sooty mangabey), 3092 nucleotides long. RefSeq lists it as uncharacterized. The transcript is spliced from 3 exons. Lineage: Eukaryota; Metazoa; Chordata; Mammalia; Primates; Cercopithecidae. The record is from RefSeq and is a predicted model, not a curated record.
UCCUUAUUUUAAAAAAAUGCCUGUGUCCCUGGAGCAAAGAGAGAAGUAAAACAAACAAACAAGUCAAAGUUUCUGUGCUUUUCUAGGUCAUCAUGAUUUGAAUGUGGAAACAAAACUCUGAAAUACUUUUUGUUUUGAAUGAAAUUCAGAAUGGAGGGGCGUCUGGCAUCUGCCUUUCCAUACAGCCGACGGAGGGUUCCAGGAAAAGUCCACACAUACUUGAUUUUUGCCCCUGUUUGUAUCUGGAUCUUUGCCUCCUGUGGUCUGCACUAAGAGCCAUGAGAAUCUUCUUUCUCUGAGGUGUAUUCUUACUGGGGAAGGGCCCACAGGCUCCAUAAUUUUCUUUGCAUGAUUUCCUGCAGUGCUUGAGCAUUUAGCAAACAACCACCUCGAUGUUCCUCUAUGCUUUCGAGGUGAAAUUCAACUCGAGAUUUCGUCUGUGUCCUGGAGACCUGAUGCUCUGCGUUAACUGUGUGUGUGGCAUUCCCAGCACUUCAGAGCCACGGUGCUGAGCUGUCCUCCACAGUGGCUUCCAUAGCGCAGCAAAUAUUUAUGGAACCAUGGCUACGUGCCAGAAAUCUUUACCAAGGCUGUUGACUCACGGGUGAACAAGGCUGAUAACGUUUGCUGCCCAGCCUUUCCUGAGAAAAUGUACGAGAACACUGAAGGAUACAGGAGAGAUGAUGUUAGGGGUUAGAUUUGGCCUCCCGGAGCUCAUACGUUGAAGCCCUAACCUUCAGGACCUCAGGAUGUGACUGUAUUUAGAGAUAGAGUCUUAAAAGAGGCAAUUAAGUUAAAAUGAGGCCUUUUGGUGAGCCCUAAUCCAAUUUAGAUGCUGUCCUUAUAAGGAGAAGAAAUGAGGACACAGACACACAAAGAGGGAAGGUCAUCUGAAGACACAGAGAGAAGACGCCAUCUGCAAGCCAAGGAGAGGAGCCCCAGGAGAAACCAAGCCUGCCCACAUGUUGGUAUCAGACUUCCAGCCUCCGGGACUGUGAGAGGAUGAAUGCUUGUUGUCUAAGCCCCAGUGUGUGGCAUUUGUUAUGGAAGCCAGAGCACACUAAUCCAGAUAGAGAGCUGGCUAAUUAAACAGAAAGAGGAAUACUGCUUAAGGAGACUGGGUUGAAUGACGGCCCACUGUCCUGUGCCAAUAAAUUGCGGAAUUUUAAAAAAGUAUGUGCAGAAUAAAUGCUAAUGCUCGAUGACUGUGCGUACAGUAAGUGACGCAGACAUGUUACUGCUGCUUUUCUGCUACGCUUGUUAAUAUUAUUAUUUGCAAAACUCCUGAAGCAUGGGGAUGACGCCAUCUGCUGGACCGUAUCCUGCUCCCGUGCGUAAGGGCAGAGGGUAGAGGAGGCGCUUGAUACUGAUUCUAAACUAAAUCAUUCUUAAAACUGGAAGAGUCUGUCGUGAGCCACGGGAAGUUGUUUUCAAGUAAGGGGAAAGGGAAGUUUUGUAUUAUGAACACCGUCCACAGCAUCUCUUUUAUCUGGGAAGAAGCUGAGGUUCUGCUUUGCAGUCACAUUUUUGUCCAUGGUAAGUGGAUAAAUGUGGUUUGCAUCAUUCGGUGCCUUGGGAAUGUCUUACGGGAUAUUUCUGGAAUGGGCAAAGUUCAGCACAGUCUGGAGCCAAAAUGUCCCCAUUAUUGAGCCAAUAUAGUUCAAACGUUUAUGACCCAUCUCCAGAAUGGCGUGCACAUGUGAGGGGUUGACAGUGAGGUGGAACAUGUCCCCAGGAACGGAGAGAAAGCUGCGGAGAAGCAAGCGUGCUGUGUGGCUGCCUUGGACGUCCUUUCUGGUUUGGAAGCCUGCAGCUGCAGAAGGCCUCUGAGUGUGGAGGAGGCUCUUCCUGGUAAAGAAUGCACCUCCCAACCCUGGUUGGAAGCCCCAAGGCUGUGGGAAAGCCCAGGCUCCCUGGGCCUUGAUGGUUUUUUGUUUUUUUCUUUUUUUUUUCUCUUCCUGGAUUCUGCCUUUAAGAUCAAAGGAAGUCAUCUAGCAUAGUGUUCUCAUGAUGUGGUCUCUGGAUCCCUGGGGUCUCUAUGACCCUCUCAGGGGUCUGUGAGGUUGAAACUAUUUCAUAAUAAUACUAAGACGGUAUUUCCCCUUUUCACCAUCAGUCUCACAUGAGAGUGCCCUUGGGUUUUCCAGAGGAUACGUGGCGUGUGAAGAUAUUGCAUGAUGGCUAGUGAAACAUGUGCUUGUGUGUUCUUAUGUUCUCCAGAACCUUCUUAGUAGGGUUGAUGUGUUCCAGGCACAUUUUCAGAGAUGAACUCAGCUUGUUCUUAGUACCUCCACUGCAUUCUUGCGGCCUGUCUUCCCUGUGUCUACCAUCAUCUUUAUAAGUUGUUAUUUUGAAAUCCAAGCAGUUUCUUUGCAACUGUGCAGAAACAUGACACAAAGAUGGGUCAUGGACUUUCCAAAGGGACAUCAGAAGAUUUGCUUUCUCAGUGUGCAGCAUCUCAUGUGUAAAGACGCCAAAAAGGACAGAAUUGCUGUAUCAGAGCAUUCUCUGGGUUAUGAAAGGAGAAGUCUAAUCCCAAGAAACUGUGUGAAAUUGUAAAUAGGCAAUGAAAAUGUGAUGGGCGUCAGCUCUAUAGGCGUUAAGAAUUUACCUUAUUGUGUCUUACACAACAGAAAAAAUUCCAAAUUAUAUUAUGGUGCUAGUUAAAUUGUGAUAUUAUUUUUGGAUAAAACAUUCAGAGUUUAAGAAAAAAGGGAAUUGAGUAUUUUAAGCAUAGACUUGAUGAGCUCCUUAAAAACCCCAAAAUUGUAUGGCUUUUCAAACUAGACAUGACAGAACCGCAGGAGCAUCUUAUGGAGUAAGUUACCAUAUUGCAUAGGCUGGGUGAGAACACAACAGCUGAACGAAGAAUGGGGCCCUGUAGAGCUGGCUUUGCUGAAUGUCUACUGGUUGCAAAGUCAGCAAAGAAGUCGUGGCGCUGCCACUGUCCAUCAAUACUGUGACCUGUUGAAUGAAAGCCUCAGCUGCAAACAUGAGGACUGUAUUAAUAUCUCCUCUGCACAAUUGUACUUCUGGCUUAUAAACGGAGGCUGGACUUACUGCUUUUCUUUUUUUUCAGAUUGGGUUUCACC